RNAcentral lists this ribosomal RNA (120 nucleotides) under Alcanivorax hongdengensis. The record is from RNAcentral. Lineage: Bacteria; Pseudomonadati; Pseudomonadota; Gammaproteobacteria; Oceanospirillales; Alcanivoracaceae.
UGCCUGACGACCAUAGAGCGUUGGAACCACCUGAUCCCAUGCCGAACUCAGAAGUGAAACAACGCAUCGCCGAUGGUAGUGUGGGGCUUCCCCAUGUGAGAGUAGGUCAUCGUCAGGCUC